UCAAGUGAAGAAGCGCAUACGGUGGAUGCCUUGGCAGUCAGAGGCGAUGAAAGACGUGGUAGCCUGCGAUAAGCUUCGGGGAGUCGGCAAACAGACUUUGAUCCGGAGAUCUCUGAAUGGGGGAACCCACCUAGGAUAACCUAGGUAUCUUGUACUGAAUCCAUAGGUGCAAGAGGCGAACCAGGGGAACUGAAACAUCUAAGUACCCUGAGGAAAAGAAAUCAACCGAGAUUCCCUUAGUAGUGGCGAGCGAACGGGGAUUAGCCCUUAAGCUUCAUUGAUUUUAGCGGAACGCUCUGGAAAGUGCGGCCAUAGUGGGUGAUAGCCCCGUACGCGAAAGGAUCUUUGAAGUGAAAUCGAGUAGGACGGAGCACGAGAAACUUUGUCUGAACAUGGGGGGACCAUCCUCCAAGGCUAAAUACUACUGACUGACCGAUAGUGAACCAGUACCGUGAGGGAAAGGCGAAAAGAACCCCGGAGAGGGGAGUGAAAUAGAACCUGAAACCGUAUGCGUACAAGCAGUGGGAGCCUACUUGUUAGGUGACUGCGUACCUUUUGUAUAAUGGGUCAGCGACUUAUAUUCAGUGGCGAGCUUAACCGAAUAGGGUAGGCGUAGCGAAAGCGAGUCUUAAUAGGGCGUUUAGUCGCUGGGUAUAGACCCGAAACCGGGCGAUCUAUCCAUGAGCAGGUUGAAGGUUAGGUAACACUGACUGGAGGACCGAACCCACUCCCGUUGAAAAGGUAGGGGAUGACUUGUGGAUCGGAGUGAAAGGCUAAUCAAGCUCGGAGAUAGCUGGUUCUCCUCGAAAGCUAUUUAGGUAGCGCCUCAUGUAUCACUCUGGGGGGUAGAGCACUGUUUCGGCUAGGGGGUCAUCCCGACUUACCAAACCGAUGCAAACUCCGAAUACCCAGAAGUGCCGAGCAUGGGAGACACACGGCGGGUGCUAACGUCCGUCGUGAAAAGGGAAACAACCCAGACCGCCAGCUAAGGUCCCAAAGUUGUGGUUAAGUGGUAAACGAUGUGGGAAGGCUUAGACAGCUAGGAGGUUGGCUUAGAAGCAGCCAUCCUUUAAAGAAAGCGUAAUAGCUCACUAGUCGAGUCGGCCUGCGCGGAAGAUGUAACGGGGCUCAAACCACACACCGAAGCUGCGGGUGUCACGUAAGUGACGCGGUAGAGGAGCGUUCUGUAAGCCUGUGAAGGUGAGUUGAGAAGCUUGCUGGAGGUAUCAGAAGUGCGAAUGCUGACAUGAGUAACGACAAUGGGUGUGAAAAACACCCACGCCGAAAGACCAAGGGUUCCUGCGCAACGUUAAUCGACGCAGGGUUAGUCGGUUCCUAAGGCGAGGCUGAAAAGCGUAGUCGAUGGGAAACAGGUUAAUAUUCCUGUACUUCUGGUUACUGCGAUGGAGGGACGGAGAAGGCUAGGCCAGCUUGGCGUUGGUUGUCCAAGUUUAAGGUGGUAGGCUGAAAUCUUAGGUAAAUCCGGGGUUUCAAGGCCGAGAGCUGAUGACGAGUCGUCUUUUAGAUGACGAAGUGGUUGAUGCCAUGCUUCCAAGAAAAGCUUCUAAGCUUCAGGUAACCAGGAACCGUACCCCAAACCGACACAGGUGGUCGGGUAGAGAAUACCAAGGCGCUUGAGAGAACUCGGGUGAAGGAACUAGGCAAAAUGGCACCGUAACUUCGGGAGAAGGUGCGCCGGCUAGGGUGAAGGAUUUACUCCGUAAGCUCUGGCUGGUCGAAGAUACCAGGCCGCUGCGACUGUUUAUUAAAAACACAGCACUCUGCAAACACGAAAGUGGACGUAUAGGGUGUGACGCCUGCCCGGUGCCGGAAGGUUAAUUGAUGGGGUUAGCGCAAGCGAAGCUCUUGAUCGAAGCCCCGGUAAACGGCGGCCGUAACUAUAACGGUCCUAAGGUAGCGAAAUUCCUUGUCGGGUAAGUUCCGACCUGCACGAAUGGCGUAACGAUGGCGGCGCUGUCUCCACCCGAGACUCAGUGAAAUUGAAAUCGCUGUGAAGAUGCAGUGUAUCCGCGGCUAGACGGAAAGACCCCGUGAACCUUUACUGUAGCUUUGCACUGGACUUUGAGCCUGCUUGUGUAGGAUAGGUGGGAGGCUUUGAAGCGUGGACGCCAGUUCGCGUGGAGCCAUCCUUGAAAUACCACCCUGGCAUGCUUGAGGUUCUAACUCUGGUCCGUGAUCCGGAUCGAGGACAGUGUAUGGUGGGCAGUUUGACUGGGGCGGUCUCCUCCUAAAGAGUAACGGAGGAGUACGAAGGUGCGCUCAGACCGGUCGGAAAUCGGUCGCAGAGUAUAAAGGCAAAAGCGCGCUUGACUGCGAGACAGACACGUCGAGCAGGUACGAAAGUAGGUCUUAGUGAUCCGGUGGUUCUGUAUGGAAGGGCCAUCGCUCAACGGAUAAAAGGUACUCCGGGGAUAACAGGCUGAUACCGCCCAAGAGUUCAUAUCGACGGCGGUGUUUGGCACCUCGAUGUCGGCUCAUCACAUCCUGGGGCUGAAGCCGGUCCCAAGGGUAUGGCUGUUCGCCAUUUAAAGUGGUACGCGAGCUGGGUUUAGAACGUCGUGAGACAGUUCGGUCCCUAUCUGCCGUGGACGUUUGAGAUUUGAGAGGGGCUGCUCCUAGUACGAGAGGACCGGAGUGGACGAACCUCUGGUGUUCCGGUUGUCACGCCAGUGGCAUUGCCGGGUAGCUAUGUUCGGAAAAGAUAACCGCUGAAAGCAUCUAAGCGGGAAACUUGCCUCAAGAUGAGAUCUCACUGGGAACUUGAUUCCCCUGAAGGGCCGUCGAAGACUACGACGUUGAUAGGCUGGGUGUGUAAGCGUUGUGAGGCGUUGAGCUAACCAGUACUAAUUGCCCGUGAGGCUUGACCA
This 2888-nucleotide ribosomal RNA is filed under the name Pseudomonas aeruginosa. RNAcentral's name for it is "bacterial LSU rRNA". It matches the Rfam family "Bacterial large subunit ribosomal RNA". RNAcentral also lists the same sequence under 1 other name. The record is from RNAcentral. Lineage: Bacteria; Pseudomonadati; Pseudomonadota; Gammaproteobacteria; Pseudomonadales; Pseudomonadaceae.